Molecule: ribosomal RNA, 497 nt
Filed under: uncultured bacterium
Lineage: Bacteria
Description: partial 16S ribosomal RNA
Rfam family: Bacterial small subunit ribosomal RNA
Source: RNAcentral
GAUGAACGCUGGCGGCGUGCCUAAUACAUGCAAGUCGAGCGAACAGACGAGGAGCUUGCUCCUCUGACGUUAGCGGCGGACGGAUGAGUAAAACGUGGAUAACCUACCUAUAAGACUGGGAUAACUUCGGGAAACCGGAGCUAAUACCGGAUAAUAUAUUGAACCGCAUGGUUCAAUAGUGAAAGACGGUUUUGCUGUCACUUAUAGAUGGAUCCGCGCCGCAUUAGCUAGUUGGUAAGGUAACGGCUUACCAAGGCAACGAUGCGUAGCCGACCUGAGAGGGUGAUCGGCCACACUGGAACUGAGACGCGGUCCAGACUCCUACGGGAGGCAGCAGUAGGGAAUCUUCCGCAAUGGGCGAAAGCCUGACGGAGCAACGCCGCGUGAGUGAUGAAGGUCUUCGGAUCGUAAAACUCUGUUAUUAGGGAAGAACAAAUGUGUAAGUAACUAUGCACGUCUUGACGGUACCUAAUCAGAAAGCCACGGCUAACUACGUG